Molecule: ribosomal RNA, 497 nt
Filed under: uncultured bacterium
Lineage: Bacteria
Description: partial 16S ribosomal RNA
Rfam family: Bacterial small subunit ribosomal RNA
Source: RNAcentral
GAUGAACGCUGGCGGCGUGCCUAAUACAUGCAAGUCGAGCGAACAGACGAGGAGCUUGCUCCUCUGACGUUAGCGGCGGACGGGUGAGUAACACGUGGAUAACCUACCUAUAAGACUGGGAUAACUUCGGGAAACCGGAGCUAAUACCGGAUAAUAUAUUGAACCGCAUGGUUCAAUAGUGAAAGACGGUUUUGCUGUCACUUAUAGAUGGAUCCGCGCCGCAUUAGCUAGUUGGUAAGGUAACGGCUUACCAAGGCAACGAUGCGUAGCCGACCUGAGAGAGUGAUCGGCCACACUGGAACUGAGACACGGUCCAGACUCCUACGGGAGGCAGCAGUAGGGAAUCUUCCGCAAUGGGCGAAAGCUUGACGGAGCAACGCCGCGUGAGUGAUGAAGGUCUUCGGAUCGUAAAACUCUGUUAUUAGGGAAGAACAAAUGUGUAAGUAACUAUGCACGUCUUGACGGUACCUAAUCAGAAAGCAACGGCUAACUACGUG